Molecule: long non-coding RNA, 809 nt
Filed under: Lotus japonicus
Lineage: Eukaryota; Viridiplantae; Streptophyta; Magnoliopsida; Fabales; Fabaceae
Description: long non-coding RNA (LJAP_LNC001811)
Source: RNAcentral
UUGUGCUUGCUUAUACUCUUUACUGAUAUAGUUUUAAUUUGCGUGGAAUGAUGCAUCAGAAAGAUGAAUUUGCUAAUACAAAGAGUCAUAGUAGUUAUCCUAAUAUGCAAGGGCCAGUAAAUACAAGUUAUCCUCUAGGUGUUUCCUUUAAUAGACCUCAAGAUAGAUAGAUGCCCAUGAUGCAAGAAUGCAGUAUAAUCCUUAUCAGGUAAGAUAAUAUGUUGCUAACGUUUCAUCGACCACUAUACACUACUCCCCGGGUUUGAUAACACUUUUGACCAAGACUUUUAGCCAUGAUGAUCUUUCAGUAAUUUCUUUGAAAGAAAGCAAGCUAAUUGAAGAUUUCACUAGGAAACUUUGGAUAAAAAAUGAUGUCAAUUUAUGGGAGGAAUUAAGGUUAUGUCAUUUGGUGCCAAACUUCUCAUUCCCUCUUUGUGAGCUGAGAAAUGUGGAAAAGGCCGAUACAUGGUCCCUUUGAUGUUGCUAUAGGCCUAUAGCUGAUAUUAAGCAUUCUCAAACUGUUGUAAAGGUUAAGACUUAAGAGUAGGAGUUCCUGAAUUUAAAUUAUAGGUAAAUUACCUAAGAAAAUAUUUACAAUUUGCAAGUGGUUCAAACGUUGUGGUUGAAGGGUUUCUAAAAGAGACAAGCGGUCCUAUCUCUCGAUUCAAUUAGCUCUCUCUUUACAAAGUGAUAUUUUCUACUUCUAUGUCCCUUUGUGAUUUACUUUAAUCUAUCCUCAUCUGCUCCAUCCUUUGAUGCAGCUGUGGGCCUUUUUUUGGCUCUUCAUCUCAACCAGUUAGAGCAUCUCC